GUUGGAGUGUCCAUGUGGCCGAACGUUGCAGGAAAAUAGAAAAAGGAUAUACCAACCACUUGGUGUCAUCCUAUUUUUGCAUGCAUGAAAGAAACCCUAAGCAUCUCACUUUUAUUGGUAUCUAUACUGUAAAAAAAAAAAAAAAUCACUGGAGAAGUGGAGAUUUUAUUUAAAAAAAAUUUUUUUUUUUAAAUCGGACAAACAGAAA
Pelobates cultripes (western spadefoot toad) is the source of this 208-nucleotide non-coding RNA. Lineage: Eukaryota; Metazoa; Chordata; Amphibia; Anura; Pelobatidae. The record is from the annotation of a GenBank genome assembly.